UUGAAAGGGAAACGAUUGAAGUCAGUCGUACCAGCGGGAAAUCAACCUUUCGAGUGGGGGUUUUGGAGUUUUGAAGAGUGUCAAAACCUUUGAGAUUUCAAAAUAUUCGCUCUUUUGGUGUACUUUCUCGUGGGUAGGUUAACAUCGAUUUUGAUCAUCAUAAAAAGAUUGGAGGAAUGUAGCUUCGAUCUUGUAUUGAAGUGUUAUAGCCUUUGGUAAAUGUGAUGAUUAGGAUCGAGGAUUGCAACGAAUACCCUUUUGGGCUAUCCGCCUGAUCUCUGAUACGUGGCCUUGGUAUCGAAAGCUUGCUUAUGGUAUUAAGGUAUUACGGUCAAAAGGUUAGAACGGAUUACAUUCGUUAAGGAUGUUGACGUA
This 375-nucleotide ribosomal RNA is filed under the name uncultured Glomeromycotina. RNAcentral's name for it is "LSU rRNA". Lineage: Eukaryota; Fungi; Glomeromycota. The record is from RNAcentral.